GUUGCUAUCCUGGGCUGGCAACACUUCUAGGUUGAUCUGUCUGAACUGCUGAAACUUGAUGACUUGCAAUCAACAGUCUGUAGAACAAUAAGGACUGCUCCAGUGAGAAGAAACAGGAAAG
Lagopus leucura (white-tailed ptarmigan) is the source of this 121-nucleotide long non-coding RNA. RefSeq lists it as uncharacterized. The transcript is spliced from 3 exons. Lineage: Eukaryota; Metazoa; Chordata; Aves; Galliformes; Phasianidae. The record is from RefSeq and is a predicted model, not a curated record.